This 406-nucleotide ribosomal RNA is filed under the name uncultured bacterium. Its description in RNAcentral is "bacterial SSU rRNA". It matches the Rfam family "Bacterial small subunit ribosomal RNA", at positions 355 to 776 of the family's 1533-position model. The record is from RNAcentral.
UGAGGAAUUUUCCGCAAUGGGCGAAAGCCUGACGGAGCAAUGCCGCGUGGAGGACGAAAGCCUGUGGGUCGUAAACUCCUUUUCUCAGAGAAGAAGUUCUGACGGUAUCUGAGGAAUAAGCAUCGGCUAACUCCGUGCCAGCAGCCGCGGUAAUACGGAGGAUGCAAGCGUUAUCCGGAAUCAUUGGGCGUAAAGCGUCCUGAGGUGGUUUGUCCAGUCUACUGUGAAAGCUCAGGGCUUAACCUUGAAAAUGCGGUAGAAACUAGCAAGCUAGAGUACAGUAGGGGCAGAGGGAAUUCCCGGUGUAGCGGUGAAAUGCAUAGAUAUCGGGAAGAACACCAAUGGCGAAAGCACUCUGCUGGGCUGAUACUGACACUGAAAGACGAAAGCUAGGGGAGCAAAAGGG